CGGGGUGUGGCUCAGCCCGGUAGAGCGCCUGGUUCGGGACUAGGAGGCCGGAGGUUCGAAUCCUCUCACCCCGACAA
This 77-nucleotide transfer RNA is filed under the name Bacteroidota bacterium. Its description in RNAcentral is "Bacteroidetes bacterium (bioreactor sludge metagenome) tRNA-Pro". It matches the Rfam family "tRNA". From Rfam's summary of the family: Transfer RNA (tRNA) molecules are approximately 80 nucleotides in length. Lineage: Bacteria; Pseudomonadati; Bacteroidota. The record is from RNAcentral.